RNA transcript from Orcinus orca (killer whale), 4435 nucleotides. It is a transcript of the gene named deoxyribonuclease 1, with no coding region annotated. Lineage: Eukaryota; Metazoa; Chordata; Mammalia; Artiodactyla; Delphinidae. The transcript is spliced from 9 exons. The record is from RefSeq and is a predicted model, not a curated record.
AUGAGGGGUGCCAGGCUGAUGGGGGUGCUACUCACCCUGGCUGGCCUGCUGCAGCAGACCCUGUCCCUGAGAAUAGCAGCCUUCAACAUCCAGACUUUCGGGGAGACCAAGAUGUCCAAUGCUACCCUCUCCAACUACAUUGUACAGAUCCUGAGUCGCUAUGAUAUCGCCCUCAUCCAGGAGGUCAGAGACAACCACCUGACGGCCGUAGGGAGGCUGCUGGACAAACUCAACCAGGAUGACCCAAACACCUAUCACUUUGUGGUCAGUGAGCCGCUGGGACGCAACAGCUAUAAGGAGCGCUACCUCUUCCUGUUCAGACCCGACCAGGUUUCCGUGCUGGACAGCUACCAGUACGAUGAUGGCUGUGAGCCCUGUGGGAAUGACAGCUUCAGCCGAGAGCCAGCUGUGGUCAAGUUCUCCUCCCCCUUCACACAGAUCAAGGAGUUUGCCAUUGUUCCCCUGCAUGCAGCCCCAUCGGAUGCGGUGGCUGAGAUCGACUCUCUCUAUGAUGUCUACCUGGAUGUCUGGCAGAAGUGGGACUUGGAGGACAUCAUGUUGAUGGGUGAUUUCAAUGCUGGCUGCAGCUACGUGACCCCCUCGCAGUGGUCAUCCAUCCGCCUGCGCAGGAGCCCCCCCUUCCAGUGGCUGAUUCCUGACACUGCCGACAGCACCGUUACAUCCACGCACUGUGCCUACGACAGGAUCGUGGUUGCAGGACCUCUGCUCCAAGAUGCUGUGGUUCCCAACUCAGCUGCUCCCUUUGACUUCCAAGCUGCAUACGGAUUGAGUGACCAGAUGGCCCUAGCCAUCAGCGACCAUUACCCGGUGGAGGUGAUGCUGAAGAGAGCCUGACGUGAGUGGGGCCUGGCCAGCGACCUCCGCUCUGCAGCCUGUCGCCAAGAACUGAGACGACACAGCCAAAGGCUAGGGACAGAGUUUAGGAAACCAGUGCCUGGUCCUGAGUGCUCCUGCCCCUCCCCACCACCGUGGCAGCUGGAAUUAGAGGAAGCUCAGAGCUGGAUCAGUGGGUUCCUAGCUCAUUAAAGCCUACCCAGAACCCCCACUGAGAACCCAAGCUGGACCGUACGCCCUUGUGUCCUCAGCCACUGCAGCUCCUCUAGGCCUGGACGAGGAUGGCCCUGGGGAGGCCAACUGGGGACACCUCCUCUCUGCUUCUGCCUGCCCACCAGGCCCUCAGCAGCUCACCUUCCACUUUCUUCAUUCCAACUGCUCUACAAAGUGGAGGCAAAGCCAAGCUUGCCCGCCCGACCUCAGUAACUCCCCGGGCACAUGUGGCUACGUGCUCACGAUCGCACACAUGCAGGAGCAGCAGCAACCAGAGCCGGCAGGCUGGCCAGCUGUGCAGUCACCAAGGGCCAUGGUGGUUGGGUGGUGGCCCGUCUUUGGGAGGCCUCACCUUCACGUUGGUGACACGGGACCCUAGCGCGUUUCUCAUCCAGGCCAUCAGGUCCUCUGUCUCCUUCUCUGACAGACGGUCGCCAGCUACAGGAGAGCAGAAGGGUGAGCUUGGAGACCGUCUCCACAACUCCCUCCCCAUAGGCUCCCAUCGGCAGGCUCCCUCCACCCUGCCAGCCACUGGCACAACGACAGAAGCUACCAGAACACUCUUCAUCUAAAAUUAAGCAGAUAAAUUUGGACCCCAGAAAGGAUACUUUUGAUUGCCUGAGGCCCAUAUAAUUUUGUUAGGGCUUUAAAAUGUCUGAUUCUCUUAAGCUUUAUCAAUCUUAGGAAGGCAAGCUGUGAAAAGAAAACCCCAUAUAGACCCACUGUUGCAGAACGAAGAGGCCGUGUAGCAAACAGUGCCAGCUCCCUGGGCCUGCCUGGCCUCAUCUGCACCCCAGGCCACCAUCCACACCUGUGCCCAGAGAGAAGGGAAGCAAGCCGACCUGGGGAGCCGUCCUCAAACUUCUCCUCCUUGUAGUGGUCAACAACGAUGUCCGUUUCCACAGACAUCAGCUUCUUCUUGUCAAACUCACGAAGGUGGAGCAAGGUCAGCUCAUCAAACUGCUCGUAGCAGAAGAGAACCUGUGAGGACCCGAAAUGGCUUCCAUCAGGCCCGGGGAACCCUCUGCCCGUGACAGGAGAGGGACACGGAGCAGGGGCUGGGGCUGCGGGCUGGGCCCAGCAUCUGAGGGCCAUGCAGGGGGUGCUGGGGUUCCUGGGCCUUGUGGACGCAGUGGUUUACAGACGGCUCUCAGGGAGGCUCUGGCUCUAUCUUAGAAGCAGUGAUGCUAUUUAUAGAGAAAUCCCUGUGUCACCUCCUAGAAAGACCCAAACUAGUAGGCAGGCUUCAGCCUGGCCUCUGUGACCCUGGAUGCUGACUCUCACUGCUCCGCUCUCCCGAAUCGUGGGCACAUUCAGCCAUUCCCCAGUGAGCAUGGGGACCCUCCUUCAGUGGUCAGACCCCCUCGCCCUCUGACCUGGCCCCAAGGGAAGGACAAGUGCAGGGAGGCCCGGUAGGGGCCAAGCCUGCCACUUGGCUCACCCACCUCUGUGUUUUUCCACUUCAUGGCCUCAUAGUAGGGCGAGUGCUCCGCCAGGUGCCGGUUGGGGGCGCACAGGUAGUAGAUACUGCGGGUGCCGGCCUGCAUGCGGCUGGCGUAGUCUGGGAGGCUGGUCAGCUGCCCAGCAGGCAGUGCCGACGACUCGUACCGCAGCAGCUUUGCAAUAUCCUCCUGUAGACAGACAGAGGCCAGGUCAUUGCUCAUUCCAGGUCCUGGCUCUGAAAGCCUCCCGACAGCGGGGCACAGACUUCGGGAGCCUUCAGCUAAGGGAGGAAAGGCUCUGGCUGGCCUCACACCCGCCUGGUGACCGUGUCCUGCAGCCAAGGCAGCUCCUUUGGGAGCCUGGUCCAGGGAUGGCGCCCUGGGCUGGCUCGGGCCCUGGGGAGCUCUGAGGGACUCCAGUGCUGUCCAUUGGGCCCCAUGUCAGAAGUUCAGGGGACCUCGGAAAGCACGUUCCACCACAGGUGGCCCAGGGCCUUGCUGAGAGGGCCUUUCCAGGUGAGCUGCAAAAACGGUCCCAGGAGUGGCUAGGCCCUGUCCGUGGCAGAGCCCACUCUGGACCCAGCAUCCUCCCUCUGUCUCGAGUCACAGACCCUGGCUCUCGCCAAGCAGGGGACACGGGUGUGAAGUCCACACUUCCCAGCCUUCCUCACAGCCAGGGGACGAGUCCUGGCCCAGGGGGUACAAGCCUAAGUGGGGUGUGUGACUCAGAGAACAGGCCCUGAAAGGAGGGGCUUGUCCAUCUGCUCCUGUCGGCUGAGAUGCUGGUGGCAUCUAGACUCCAUGAGGGAGUCGCCUAUAAGGACAGAAGCAGCAACAGGCUGGGGUCCAGCUCCCUGACGCACCAGCCUGGACAUGACCUGACAGUAAACUGCCUCGUCUAUGCCACCGACUCAUCUCCAACAACCCAUGGUGCCCAGAGGGGAGGUCCAGAUGAGAGAGUGAUGUGGUGGGGAUGAAAGGGGGACGAACAGGCAAAACCAGGGAUCUGGGAGCCCACCCGGCGAGCCAGGCUCUAGGUUCAUAGGUUAAGCUCAUGCUCUUGUGCAUGUUACGGAUCCUCAUUAACUGAGUAAGGGGCCUUCCCUGGUGAUGCAGUGUUUAAGAAUCUGCCUGCCAAUGCAGGGGACACAGGUUCGAGCCCUGGUCCGGGAACAUCCCACGUGCCGCAGAGCAACUAAGCCCGUGCACCACAACUACUGAGCCUACUUUCUACAGCCCGCGUGCCACAACUACUAAAGCCCGUGUGCCUAGAGCCUGUGACCUGCAACGAGGAGCCACCACGAGAAGCCGGUCCACCACAACGAAGAGUAGCUCCCGCUCGCCACAACUAGAGAAAAGUCCGCGUGCAGCAACGAGGACCCAAAUCAGCCAAAAAAUAAAUAACUUUAUUUAUUUAUUUAUUUAAAAAAACCCUGAGUCAGUCAGUGUUUAUAAAGCACUCAGAAAAGCCUCUGGCACCACCUGUGUCCCGCUACCUACAAACACAGAGAGGAAUGAGUGGAGAGUCCGAGCAGGCAGCACUUAGAGCCACUGGAGUCCUUGUGCCAACAACCGGGGUUAGGAGGACCCAGGGUGAUGAGGGCCUGGGGGGAGCAGGCUGGUAGCCGCAGUGCCCAGGCCCCAUCCCACCCUCCCUCAUGGCCUGCAGAACAAACCCUGGGACCCCAGACGGUUGGUCACCCUCCUUCCCUGCUGCUGUUCUGGAGCAAAAGACGAAACGCCAGCGCUAAGAGUGACAAAAGACAUGUGUCUUUUGGGAGUGAUGGAAAUGUUCCAGAACCAGAUGGUGGUGGACGUACAACCUGUGAAGGUACUAAAUGAACUGUUCACUUUAAGAGAGUGAAUUUCAUUGUAUGGGAACUGUAUCACAACUUAAAAGUGGCCAAUAAAUGUUUAUGGAACAA